Molecule: ribosomal RNA, 253 nt
Filed under: uncultured bacterium
Lineage: Bacteria
Description: partial 16S ribosomal RNA
Rfam family: Bacterial small subunit ribosomal RNA
Source: RNAcentral
UACGUAGGGUGCGAGCGUUAAUCGGAAUUACUGGGCGUAAAGCGUGCGCAGGCGGCUUUGCAAGACAGACGUGAAAUCCCCGGGCUCAACCUGGGAACUGCAUUUGUGACUGCAAGGCUAGAGUACGGCAGAGGGGGAUGGAAUUCCGCGUGUAGCAGUGAAAUGCGUAGAUAUGCGGAGGAACACCAAUGGCGAAGGCAAUCCCCUGGGCCUGUACUGACGCUCAUGCACGAAAGCGUGGGGAGCAAACAGG